Molecule: unclassified non-coding RNA, 347 nt
Filed under: soil metagenome
Description: partial contains 5.8S ribosomal RNA, internal transcribed spacer 2, and large subunit ribosomal RNA
Rfam family: 5.8S ribosomal RNA (bases 1-120)
Source: RNAcentral
GAUGAAGAACGCAGCGAAGUGCGAUAAGUAAUGUGAAUUGCAGAAUUCAGUGAAUCAUCGAAUCUUUGAACGCACAUUGCGCCCGCCAGUAUUCUGGCGGGCAUGCCUGUCUGAGCGUCAUUUCAACCCUCAUGCCCCUAGGGCGUGGUGUUGGGGAUCGGCCAAAGCCCGCGAGGGACGGCCGGCCCCUAAAUCUAGUGGCGGACCCGUCGUGGCCUCCUCUGCGAAGUAGUGAUAUUCCGCAUCGGAGAGCGAUGAGCCCCUGCCGUUAAACCCCCAACUUUCCAAGGUUGACCUCAGAUCAGGUAGGAAUACCCGCUGAACUUAAGCAUAUCAUAAGCGGAGGA